Molecule: long non-coding RNA, 379 nt
Filed under: Mytilus galloprovincialis (Mediterranean mussel)
Lineage: Eukaryota; Metazoa; Mollusca; Bivalvia; Mytilida; Mytilidae
Source: RNAcentral
GCCACGGCGUAAAAGUUUUUAUAAAGUUAUCAGUUUCUCUAACACAUACUUGUUCGUCCUGAGAGAUGACAUUGGUUGUUUCCUUCUAAAAGAGGGACGAAAGAUACCAAAGGGACAGUCAAACUCAUAAAUCUAAAACAAACUGACAACGCCAUGGCUAAAAAUGAAAAAGACAAACAGAAAAACAAUAGUACACAUGACACAACAUAGAAAACUAAAGAAUAAACAACACGAGCCCCACCAAAAACUAGGGGUGAUCUCAGGUGCUCUGGAAGGGUAAGCAGAUCCUGCUCCACAUGUGGCACCCGUCGUGUUGCUUAUGUGAUUACAAAUCCGGUAAAUAGUCUAAUUUGGUAGGUCACAUUCAUGAAAGGGAAGG